Molecule: ribosomal RNA, 253 nt
Filed under: uncultured bacterium
Lineage: Bacteria
Description: partial 16S ribosomal RNA
Rfam family: Bacterial small subunit ribosomal RNA
Source: RNAcentral
UACGAAGGGAGCUAGCGUUGUUCGGAAUCACUGGGCGUAAAGCGCACGUAGGCGGAUGUGUCAGUCAGGGGUGAAAUCCCGGAGCUCAACUUCGGAACUGCCCUUGAUACUGGCGGUCUCGAGUCCGGGAGAGGUGAGUGGAACUGCGAGUGUAGAGGUGAAAUUCGUAGAUAUUCGCAAGAACACCAGUGGCGAAGGCGGCUCACUGGCCCGGUACUGACGCUGAGGCACGAAAGCGUGGGGAGCAAACAGG